UAUUGGUCAAUGGUCGGGAGACUGAACCAGCCAAGCCGCGUGAGGGAGGAAGGUACAGAGUAUCGUAAACCUCUUUUGUCAGGGAACAAAGGCGGGGACGUGUCCCCGGAUGAGUGUACCUGAAGAAAAAGCAUCGGCUAACUCCGCGCCAGCAGCCGCGGUAAUACGGAGGAUGCGAGCGUUAUCCGGAUUUAUUGGGUUUAAAGGGUGCGUAGGCGGGCUUUUAAGUCAGCGGUAAAAAUUCGGGGCUCAACCCCGUCCGGCCGUUGAAACUAGGGGCCUUGAGUGGGCGAGAAGAAGGCGGAAUGCGUGGUGUAGCGGUGAAAUGCUUAGAUAUCGCGCAGAACCCCGAUUGCGAGGGCAGCGUACCGGCUCCACACUGACGCUGAGGCACGAAAGCGUGGGUAUCG
This 410-nucleotide ribosomal RNA is filed under the name uncultured bacterium. RNAcentral describes it as "bacterial SSU rRNA". It matches the Rfam family "Bacterial small subunit ribosomal RNA", at positions 362 to 770 of the family's 1533-position model. The record is from RNAcentral.